UAGGGAAUCUUCGGCAAUGGGGGCAACCCUGACCGAGCAACGCCGCGUGAGUGAAGAAGGUUUUCGGAUCGUAAAGCUCUGUUGUAAGAGAAGAACGUGUGUGAGAGUGGAAAGUUCACACAGUGACGGUAACUUACCAGAAAGGGACGGCUAACUACGUGCCAGCAGCUGCGGUAAUACGUAGGUCCCGAGCGUUGUCCGGAUUUAUUGGGCGUAAAGCGAGCGCAGGCGGUUUAAUAAGUCUGAAGUUAAAGGCAGUGGCUUAACCAUUGUUCGCUUUGGAAACUGUUAAACUUGAGUGCAGAAGGGGAGAGUGGAAUUCCAUGUGUAGCGGUGAAAUGCGUAGAUAUAUGGAGGAACACCGGUGGCGAAAGCGGCUCUCUGGUCUGUAACUGACGCUGAGGCUCGAAAGCGUGGGGAGCAAACAGG
RNAcentral lists this ribosomal RNA (429 nucleotides) under bacterium. RNAcentral's name for it is "partial 16S ribosomal RNA". It matches the Rfam family "Bacterial small subunit ribosomal RNA", at positions 355 to 776 of the family's 1533-position model. The record is from RNAcentral.